GACGAACCGUGCGAACGUUGUUCGGAAUCGCUGGGCUUAAAGGGCGCGUAGGCGGGGUGGACAGUCUAUGGUGAAAUACUUCGGCUCAACCGGAGAACUGCCGUGGAUACUGCCACUCUCGAGGGGUGUAGGGGCAUGCGGAACUUCGGGUGGAGCGGUGAAAUGCGUAGAUAUCCGAAGGAACGCCGGUGGCGAAAGCGGCGUGCUGGACACCUUCUGACGCUGAGGCGCGAAAGCCAGGGGAGCAAACGGG
Molecule: ribosomal RNA, 253 nt
Filed under: uncultured bacterium
Lineage: Bacteria
Description: partial 16S ribosomal RNA
Rfam family: Bacterial small subunit ribosomal RNA
Source: RNAcentral